Molecule: signal recognition particle RNA, 299 nt
Filed under: Saimiri boliviensis boliviensis (Bolivian squirrel monkey)
Lineage: Eukaryota; Metazoa; Chordata; Mammalia; Primates; Cebidae
Description: Metazoan signal recognition particle RNA (ENSSBOG00000004455.1)
Rfam family: Metazoan signal recognition particle RNA
About the family: The signal recognition particle (SRP) is a universally conserved ribonucleoprotein. It is involved in the co-translational targeting of proteins to membranes.
Source: RNAcentral
GCCAGGUGCAGUGGCACGUGCCUGUAGUCCCAGCUACUCAGGAUGCUGAGGCGGGAGGAUCACUUGAGUCCAGGGGUUCUGGGCUGUAGUGCACUAUGCUGAUCAGGUGUCCGCACUAAGUCUGGCAUCAAUAUGGUGACCUCCUGGGAGUAGGGGACCACCAGGUUGCCUAAGGAGGAGUGAACCUGCCCAGGUCAGAAACGGAGCAGGUCAAAACUCCCGUGCUGAUCAGUAGUGGGAUCGCGCCUGUGAAUAGCCACUGCACUCCUACCUGGGCAACAGAGUGAGACCCCAUCUCU